Gigantopelta aegis is the source of this 368-nucleotide long non-coding RNA. RefSeq lists it as uncharacterized. Lineage: Eukaryota; Metazoa; Mollusca; Gastropoda; Neomphalida; Peltospiridae. The transcript has 2 exons. The record is from RefSeq and is a predicted model, not a curated record.
AGGUGUGUUGUUUAUUUCAUCUUUUGUGUUAGCAGUGGUCAUUGUUUAUUGUGUUGGGUUUGUUAGUAGUUGUUAAUUCACGUGCGACGAUGACAGUUCACGCAAGACUGAUGACUCGACACCGAGACACGCACUGCAUGCUUUUGGACUACGCCCUUUAUAACUAGAUUGUUCCUAAUUGUCAGAUUACGAUCAGCUUUCAUCAGAAGCAGACAGUCAGUACUAUUUUAUCCAAUUAUUCUGCAGAGAAUCGGUUGAUUAUUAUAUAUAUAUUUUAUACACUACUGCAUUUCCAGUGUCUGAUCAAAUAGAUAUUGUGGAUGUCUGGUUUUUCCAACUGGUCUACAAAUAAAAUAUUGGAACCACAA